Molecule: ribosomal RNA, 402 nt
Filed under: uncultured Sphingobium sp.
Lineage: Bacteria; Pseudomonadati; Pseudomonadota; Alphaproteobacteria; Sphingomonadales; Sphingobiaceae
Description: bacterial SSU rRNA
Rfam family: Bacterial small subunit ribosomal RNA
Source: RNAcentral
UAGGGAAUAUUGGACAAUGGGGGCAACCCUGAUCCAGCAAUGCCGCGUGAGUGAUGAAGGCCUUAGGGUUGUAAAGCUCUUUUACCCGAGAUGAUAAUGACAGUAUCGGGAGAAUAAGCUCCGGCUAACUCCGUGCCAGCAGCCGCGGUAAUACGGAGGGAGCUAGCGUUGUUCGGAAUUACUGGGCGUAAAGCGCACGUAGGCGGCGAUUUAAGUCAGAGGUGAAAGCCCGGGGCUCAACCCCGGAACUGCCUUUGAGACUGGAUUGCUUGAAUCCUGGAGAGGUGAGUGGAAUUCCGAGUGUAGAGGUGAAAUUCGUAGAUAUUCGGAAGAACACCAGUGGCGAAGGCGACUGACUGGACAAGUAUUGACGCUGAGGUGCGAAAGCGUGGGGAGCAAACA